RNAcentral lists this ribosomal RNA (924 nucleotides) under Bacillus sp. (in: firmicutes). RNAcentral describes it as "bacterial SSU rRNA". It matches the Rfam family "Bacterial small subunit ribosomal RNA", at positions 56 to 960 of the family's 1533-position model. The record is from RNAcentral. Lineage: Bacteria; Bacillati; Bacillota; Bacilli; Caryophanales; Bacillaceae.
UGCAGUCGAGCGGACAGAUGGGAGCUUGCUCCCUGAUGUUAGCGGCGGACGGGUGAGUAACACGUGGGUAACCUGCCUGUAAGACUGGGAUAACUCCGGGAAACCGGGGCUAAUACCGGAUGCUUGUUUGAACCGCAUGGUUCAAACAUAAAAGGUGGCUUCGGCUACCACUUACAGAUGGACCCGCGGCGCAUUAGCUAGUUGGUGAGGUAACGGCUCACCAAGGCAACGAUGCGUAGCCGACCUGAGAGGGUGAUCGGCCACACUGGGACUGAGACACGGCCCAGACUCCUACGGGAGGCAGCAGUAGGGAAUCUUCCGCAAUGGACGAAAGUCUGACGGAGCAACGCCGCGUGAGUGAUGAAGGUUUUCGGAUCGUAAAGCUCUGUUGUUAGGGAAGAACAAGUACCGUUCGAAUAGGGCGGUACCUUGACGGUACCUAACCAGAAAGCCACGGCUAACUACGUGCCAGCAGCCGCGGUAAUACGUAGGUGGCAAGCGUUGUCCGGAAUUAUUGGGCGUAAAGGGCUCGCAGGCGGUUCCUUAAGUCUGAUGUGAAAGCCCCCGGCUCAACCGGGGAGGGUCAUUGGAAACUGGGGAACUUGAGUGCAGAAGAGGAGAGUGGAAUUCCACGUGUAGCGGUGAAAUGCGUAGAGAUGUGGAGGAACACCAGUGGCGAAGGCGACUCUCUGGUCUGUAACUGACGCUGAGGAGCGAAAGCGUGGGGGAGCGAACAGGAUUAGAUACCCUGGUAGUCCACGCCGUAAACGAUGAGUGCUAAGUGUUAGGGGGUUUCCGCCCCUUAGUGCUGCAGCUAACGCAUUAAGCACUCCGCCUGGGGAGUACGGUCGCAAGACUGAAACUCAAAGGAAUUGACGGGGGCCCGCACAAGCGGUGGAGCAUGUGGUUUAAUUCGGAAGCAAC